CUGAGAUGCUGCAGUCUACCAAGCUCCCAGGGAUGCUGCUGCUGUUGCUGGCACGCGACCCACGUGUUAAGCAGCAGCCGGGAGGGUCAGCUGGUUCAAGCGUUUGUUUCACAUGUAUUUCAUGAGGGCUCUCUACAUGCCAGGUGCUGGGACACAAUGGAGAGCAAGACAGGUGUGGCCCUGCCCUCUGAUGAUGGCUGAUGUGGUCCGUUCUCCUCAGUUGUUUGACUUUGUCUCCACGUUUCAAACUGAGAUUCCCAGGAGUGAGGAUCUGUUUUCCCAGCCUGGACACAGUGUCUGCUCCAGACCUGCUAAACUGCUGGUUUGGAGGGGCUCCCCAAACAGGCCUGGGCUAAGCAGGAGAGUCAUGUGAGGACAGAACAGUGGCCAGCUCUACACAGGUGGGAGGCACAGUUCCUGUUGUGCAGUUGGGGAAACCGACACCCGCAGGAGUACAGCGAUGUGCUGAGAUCUUGCAGCUGGCAAGGUGGAGAUUCAGGGCUUACAUCAUGUUCUCUUGGACUCUGACUCUGUGGUUUUUCCACAGCUCCACUCCCCAGAGCUUUGCCGUGGCUCCCGCAUCUGUUCCACUGCCACACUUAAUUCUGCUGAGAUGACCAGAGCAGGAAGCAGGAAAGCUGACUUCCCUGAAAGAGCCCGUGGUCCUCCUGAGCAUGACCAGACCGACCCACAGAGCUGAGAUGGGAGGAAGCAUGUUGGCCAGGCUGGGGCAGGGGCUGCUGGUUCUGGGACUGUUGCUACCUCUGCAGACAGCUGCCAAGACAACCAUGCAAGCUGCCACCACUGAGGGUGUCAGUGCCCUGCAGUCUUCAGCUGGUGUCCCCGUCUUGUCUCUCUCCCUUGUUCGUCAUCUUUAUUGUUGAGACUCAGGCUGAGCAAUAGCACUUCUCCAACUCACCUUUUCAAUCCCAACCCACAUGGCAUCUCAAGGAUAAACAACAAUAACAGGGCUUCAUCAAAGCUACCAAUGCCACCCCAUAUCUUCUUGAAAUGGACAAUGUUGCAAAGCCCACAUUUGACUCUUUUGAAGAGCAUCAGGAGAACUUGACCCUUUGACCCGUGCCUCUGUGAAAUCAGCUGGAGUUUCGCAUGCCAGGUGAAAAGGAUAGAGAACAGCCACAAUUAGUGAAAGACACGGUUUCAUUAAAUGGGGCUUAAGAAAUACGGACUCUCAAAACUCCACCUUGAAAAAAACUGAUUUCACCCUUAUCUAGAGAAAAAGGAUGGGAUGUGGAAUGGAGAUUGUUUUCAUUUUGAUUCUUCAAAUCUGUAAGACCAUAAAAAUGAUUAUGUAAUAUAAAAAGCUGCC
This 1330-nucleotide long non-coding RNA is filed under the name Homo sapiens (human). Its description in RNAcentral is "HSALNT0004139". The record is from RNAcentral. Lineage: Eukaryota; Metazoa; Chordata; Mammalia; Primates; Hominidae.